This 269-nucleotide ribosomal RNA is filed under the name uncultured bacterium. Its description in RNAcentral is "partial 16S ribosomal RNA". It matches the Rfam family "Bacterial small subunit ribosomal RNA", at positions 524 to 781 of the family's 1533-position model. The record is from RNAcentral.
GACGUAGGGCGCAAGCGUUGUCCGGAUUUAUGGCGUAAAGAGCUCGUAGGCGGCCUGUCGCGUCGACCGUGAAAACCCGCACGCUCAACUGCGGGCUUGCGGUCGAUACGGCAGGCUGGAGUUCGGUAGGGGAGACGUGGAAGUUCCUGGAUGUAGCGGUGAAAUGACGCAGAUAUCAGGAGGAACACCCGUGGCGAAGGCGGACGUCCUCCUGGGGACGUGACUGACGCUGAGACGACGGAAAGCGUGGGGGAGCGAAACAGGAUUAG